UCAAUGGGUAUACCUUCCUAUUCUGUGACUAGGCGUACUGUUCCAGUACUUCGUAUUAAUGUACAACUAAAUGAACUAAUUAUUAAAAAGUAAACAGACCUUUAAACUGAAGAACUUGAUUGGCUUGUAUACAUUGGUUUCUUUGUCAUAUAGUUCAAUUGCUGUUGCUUGUAAAUGUUUUAUAAACCAGUACUGCGAAGUAGCGAAAUUUCGGGCCGUCUUUCACAACAAAUAACAUCACAAUAACUGCACAUCAUUUUCUCUUUAACACAGAAUCAUUUUCCCCGUCCAUUGAGUUAUAAUUUCCAAAACGAACCAGUCGCUAUAACGUAAAAUAAGCGGGUAUUUGUGAACAAAAAUGCCCUUUGAUAUAACACGAGGUAACCAGCGCCAUCUUGUCUUCUCCAAACAUUACAGAUUUUCCCGCCAAAACCCGCCCCCAAAGUCCCGUAUGUACCUGACGUCACAAGUGUCAUCGACGGGGGGGACUACCAUAUUUGGUGGUAAAAUUUUUUCAAAAAUACGCACUAAAUCCAAUUUUAAUCUCUUUACCUUCGCUACUUUUGCUUUCCACAUGCCAACAAAACUAGCUUCAUAUACACAUACAUAGCAUACGCUUUAUAAAAUACUUAAAAAAAUGGACCUAAACAAUAUUGGAGCGACAACAAUUUUGGAAAGUUUCUCCGGAAAUUUUUUUUUGACAACUCGGGCACAAUCCGACAAAGUCGGGCAAAUUUCUUUCCACCCCCUUAUUUUUUCCUUCCCGUACGCCCAUGACGAUUGUUGUAUGCAACUUGUUGACACCAUCCCUGCGACACAAAUUGUGCCGUAUAGAUAGCCCUACAACUUGCUUAUGACAGUCGUAUGCAACACAAAAAAGUUGUAAAUAUUUUAAAUACAUUUUUAUGAAAAAAUAGUUCAAAAUGGC
This is a non-coding RNA of Paramuricea clavata, 928 nucleotides long. The record is from the annotation of a GenBank genome assembly. NCBI's taxonomy places the organism in Eukaryota, Metazoa, Cnidaria, Anthozoa, Malacalcyonacea, Plexauridae.